This 596-nucleotide ribosomal RNA is filed under the name uncultured Bacillota bacterium. RNAcentral describes it as "bacterial SSU rRNA". It matches the Rfam family "Bacterial small subunit ribosomal RNA", at positions 101 to 685 of the family's 1533-position model. Lineage: Bacteria; Bacillati; Bacillota. The record is from RNAcentral.
AACGGGUGAGUAACACGUAGGGAACCUACCUAUACGACGAGGAUAACUGUUGGAAACGACAGCUAAAACUGGAUAGGAUUAUCGAAGGCAUCUUUGGUAAUUUAAAGAUCCUAAGGGAUUACGUAGAGAUGGCCCUGCGGCGCAUUAGCUAGUUGGUGAGGUAACGGCCCACCAAGGCGACGAUGCGUAGCUGAGCUGAGAGGCUAAACAGCCACACUGGGACUGAGACACGGCCCAGACUCCUACGGGAGGCAGCAGUAGGGAAUUUUCGGCAAUGGGGGUAACCCUGACCGAGCAAUGCCGCGUGAAUGAUGAAGGUCUUCGGAUCGUAAAAUUCUGUUAUUGGGGAAGAAUAGUGUGGAGAGGGAAUGAUUCACAUAUGACGGUACCUAAUGAGAAAGCCCCGGCUAACUAUGUGCCAGCAGCCGCGGUAAUACAUAGGGGGCGAGCGUUAUCCGGAAUUAUUGGGCGUAAAGCGUGCGUAGGCGGCUAUUUAAGUCUUAUUUAAAAGCCCACAGCUUAACUGUGGAGGGUGGUAAGAAACUGGAUGGCUUGAAUACAUCAGAGGUAAGUGGAAUUCCAUGUGUAGCGGUGGA